CAGACUAUUUCAGUUUAUUGAAGUGGCAUGGGUGCAUUGCCCCAUGUCCCCUUAACUCUGCAAUGGUAUUGAGAAGCUACAAUAAUCACCUUGCAGGGUUAACUCCACCUCUAGUGGCUGUCUACCAGGUCAUGGUCGUUAGACGACUUUUAGUGAGGACAUCCAGCGUCCGCUAAAACCCCAUGCACAUUAGGUCGAUUCAGAUGGAUUCAGCUAAGUAAAUUAGGGGUUUUAACUCUGUCAGCAGAGGGGAGUAAGCAGGCUAGAGUUCACUCUCACCACCAGAACCAUCAAAGCAAUGAAAGAAAGCAAUGUCUCCUCCUCCCUCAGCAAAGGUAAGAAGGGAGGGGGGACAUGAACUAUAUUUGAGUAAUUAUUUAAUAAUUUAACAAAUAUAUCUUUAAUCU
Pelobates cultripes (western spadefoot toad) is the source of this 407-nucleotide non-coding RNA. The record is from the annotation of a GenBank genome assembly. NCBI's taxonomy places the organism in Eukaryota, Metazoa, Chordata, Amphibia, Anura, Pelobatidae.